Molecule: long non-coding RNA, 298 nt
Filed under: Malus domestica (apple)
Lineage: Eukaryota; Viridiplantae; Streptophyta; Magnoliopsida; Rosales; Rosaceae
Description: long non-coding RNA (MDOM_LNC019836)
Source: RNAcentral
CAUUAAGGCCCAAUGGGCUUCGAACGUCAAGCCCAUUGAAUUAAGUUGUAUGACAACUUAAUGAAUAAUGAUUCACAAAUGCCCAAUUAGCCCAAUAAUACCCUAAGGCCGGCCAUUUAGAGAUGGAGUGAGUUUUGGACUGAUUUACAAGUUUGCCACUCCAAUGAAUUAAGGUAUAAAUAUGACUUUAUAGCCAAAAUUCAUUUAGGAUUUUCUUUUGGGGAAAGGAGGAGAACAUAAGCUCUCCUUUCUCUCUAAAGUGGCCGGCCUCCUUGGAGGGUUUAGCUAGCAAUCCUAC